RNAcentral lists this non-coding RNA (18 nucleotides) under Mus musculus (house mouse). Lineage: Eukaryota; Metazoa; Chordata; Mammalia; Rodentia; Muridae. The record is from RNAcentral.
UGUUCUUGUGAAUGGAGU